This 1369-nucleotide ribosomal RNA is filed under the name uncultured bacterium. RNAcentral describes it as "bacterial SSU rRNA". It matches the Rfam family "Bacterial small subunit ribosomal RNA", at positions 28 to 1381 of the family's 1533-position model. The record is from RNAcentral.
GACGAACGCUGGCGGCGUGCCUAAUACAUGCAAGUAGAACGCUGAAGAGAGGAGCUUGCUCUUCUUGGAUGAGUUGCGAACGGGUGAGUAACGCGUAGGUAACCUGCCUUGUAGCGGGGGAUAACUAUUGGAAACGAUAGCUAAUACCGCAUAACAAUGGAUGACACAUGUCAUUUAUUUGAAAGGGGCAAUUGCUCCACUACAAGAUGGACCUGCGUUGUAUUAGCUAGUAGGUGAGGUAACGGCUCACCUAGGCGACGAUACAUAGCCGACCUGAGAGGGUGAUCGGCCACACUGGGACUGAGACACGGCCCAGACUCCUACGGGAGGCAGCAGUAGGGAAUCUUCGGCAAUGGGGGCAACCCUGACCGAGCAACGCCGCGUGAGUGAAGAAGGUUUUCGGAUCGUAAAGCUCUGUUGUAAGUCAAGAACGAGUGUGAGAGUGGAAAGUUCACACUGUGACGGUAGCUUACCAGAAAGGGACGGCUAACUACGUGCCAGCAGCCGCGGUAAUACGUAGAUCCCGAGCGUUGUCCGGAUUUAUUGGGCGUNAAGCGAGCGCAGGCGGUUUGAUAAGUCUGAAGUUAAAGGCUGUGGCUCAACCAUAGUUCGCUUUGGAAACUGUCAAACUUGAGUGCAGAAGGGGAGAGUGGAAUUCCAUGUGUAGCGGUGAAAUGCGUAGAUAUAUGGAGGAACACCGGUGGCGAAAGCGGCUCUCUGGUCUGUAACUGACGCUGAGGCUCGAAAGCGUGGGGAGCGAACAGGAUUAGAUACCCUGGUAGUCCACGCCGUAAACGAUGAGUGCUAGGUGUUGGAUCCUUUCCGGGAUUCAGUGCCGCAGCUAACGCAUUAAGCACUCCGCCUGGGGAGUACGACCGCAAGGUUGAAACUCAAAGGAAUUGACGGGGGCCCGCACAAGCGGUGGAGCAUGUGGUUUAAUUCGAAGCAACGCGAAGAACCUUACCAGGUCUUGACAUCCCGAUGCUAUUUCUAGAGAUAGAAAGUUACUUCGGUACAUCGGUGACAGGUGGUGCAUGGUUGUCGUCAGCUCGUGUCGUGAGAUGUUGGGUUAAGUCCCGCAACGAGCGCAACCCCUAUUGUUAGUUGCCAUCAUUCAGUUGGGCACUCUAGCGAGACUGCCGGUAAUAAACCGGAGGAAGGUGGGGAUGACGUCAAAUCAUCAUGCCCCUUAUGACCUGGGCUACACACGUGCUACAAUGGUUGGUACAACGAGUUGCGAGUCGGUGACGGCAAGCUAAUCUCUUAAAGCCAAUCUCAGUUCGGAUUGUAGGCUGCAACUCGCCUACAUGAAGUCGGAAUCGCUAGUAAUCGCGGAUCAGCACGCCGCGGUGAAUACGUUCCCGGGCCU